GUGUGGAAUGCAAGGGUCACCCCCAGUGCUGACCAGACUUCCCGUGUUAGCGAGGCAGUGAAGGAGGUCCCUUGGUCACUUUCAAUUACUUCUGGGACCCCAUAGCGGCAAACAAUUUCUGUCAAGAGAUACUUGGCUGUAGUCCUCGCGGUGAGAUUAGUCACUGGGAAGGCCUCUGGCCAUCCUGAAAACAUGUCCACUAUGACCAAUGCAUAUUCAUAACGUCCACUCUUUGGCAUCUGAAUGUGAUCAAUCUGGAUCCUCUGGAAGGGAUAUUGCGGCUUGGCUAGGUGAUUAGGUGCAGUCUUUAUAAUCUUUCCAGGAUUGCAUUUAGCACAUAUAGUACAUGACUUACAGUAAUUCUGUGUUAAGGUGGUGAUGCCUGGUGCUUCGAAAUAUUUGUCAAUCAGUGAAUUCAUCAGGAGUUUUGACAGGUGAGCUGGCCCAUGGGCCCAUUGG
RNAcentral lists this long non-coding RNA (459 nucleotides) under Pelobates cultripes (western spadefoot toad). Lineage: Eukaryota; Metazoa; Chordata; Amphibia; Anura; Pelobatidae. The record is from RNAcentral.